This 127-nucleotide small RNA is filed under the name Marmota monax (woodchuck). The record is from RNAcentral. Lineage: Eukaryota; Metazoa; Chordata; Mammalia; Rodentia; Sciuridae.
GUUGGGUGCAGUGGCUCACACCUGUAAUCCCAGCUGCUCAGGAGGCUGAGGCAGGAGGAGCACAGGUUCAAAGCCAGCCUCAGCAACUUAGUGAGGCCCUAAAUGACUUAGUGAGACCCUGUCUCAA